AAUAAGAUUAUUUUUUAGUUUUUUGAUACAAUGUUUUGACUCUUCGUCUUAUUUGAGAUUUUUUUACGAUUAAUAUUUUUAUUCUUACUAGAUGAUAAAACAUGAAUAAUACUUUAUGCGCGAUUAAUUUUUUUAAAGUUUUUUAACAAAUUUUUCAAAUAAGAAGAACGGUCAAACGUUGGACACGGAAAAAC
Molecule: microRNA precursor, 194 nt
Filed under: Oryza brachyantha (malo sina)
Lineage: Eukaryota; Viridiplantae; Streptophyta; Magnoliopsida; Poales; Poaceae
Description: MIR812 microRNA precursor family
Rfam family: MIR812 microRNA precursor family
Source: Rfam by way of RNAcentral